CCUGCAUCCAAACAGGUAUGCACAUCAGGUGGCCAACACAAGCAACGGCCACAGAGCCAACAGCAUCCACUCUUACAAAGAAAAAUCAAAGAAAAGGAAAAAAAAAUCUUACAAAGAUCCAGUCCAUUUUAACUAAACCUUCUGUUUAGUUUUGUGAAAUUAAACCACUGUGUUAAGAAGUACUACCAGAGCCUGGUUACCAUUCUGGGAGCCAGAGUCAUGAAGGAGGAAGGUGCCAAACACCUCUCACAGUGUAAAACAGCACAGCUCAAGCUGGAGAAGGACUUCACAGAAAUUCAGAGCCAAGGCAAGCUUAAUUCUCUACAUGCACAGGUAAGCCUGGAUAAAAACCUUUGCAGAGGGAUAGAAAAAAAACGGAAAGAUGUGGAUGAGUGGAUUAUUGGUGGUGGGGGCAUCAGACUCAGCCCUUCCCAGAAUGGCACCAAUGCUUGUUCCAAAUCCAUAAUCCCACACAUCUGUGCUUUUGUACAUUUAAUGUCGACUGUUACUUCAACAAGGUAUCAUUAAUCACUUACUUUGUUCCUGGAACACACUGAAGGAAGUCACAAAGCCUAAAACAUACUUCUUUCCUCAGGAAGAAUUUUGUUCUAGUUGGGGAGCCAAGGCCUAAAAUCCAGAAAGGUUAGAAAUCAAAAGAAAGCUGUUUACAGUCGAGGGCCCAGUGAGUGACAGUCAAAGGCACAGGGAGUGACACACUGUGAAGGAGGAUCACUAUGUGCCUGACAGGAAUAGAACGGGACAGCUAUACAGGUAUUCGGAGAAGCCCCAGUAGGGGCGAGAAAAAUGUCACCACCCUUCUACUGAUUUUAAUAAGCCCUAUGGUAAUCCUGAAGAAGAAGUGAAGUGAAGUCGCUCAGUCAUGACUGUGGCCUACCAGGCUCUUCUGUCCAUGGGAUUUUCAAGGCAAGAACACUAGAGUGGGUUGCCAUUUCCCUCUCCAGGGGAUCUUCCAGACCCAGGGAUCGAACCCGAGUCUCCCGCAUUGUAGGCAGACUCUUUACCGUCUGAGCCACCAGGGAAGAAUCUAAUAAGAAUGGUAAUCCUAGUUGACCUCAUAGGGUCAGACACUCUCCUGCCUGAUAUAAAGGAGGAGCUAGUGAUGUAAGCCUGACAUCUUCUUGAAUAAGGUGGUCUUUCCCCCUCCCCCACUUUUCUUUGAUUAUAAAAUCAUAGCCCAUUUAAUCGUUGGGGCAGAGCUCCGUCGCCUGCCCACUUGCAUCUCUUACAAGCACCCUAUAUUAAAAAAUCUACCCCUUGACUAUCACUUUGCCUCCGGCUGAAUUCCUUCUGUGCUGAGACACAAAGAACCUGAGCCUCAGUAAAUCUUAAGUCCCAGUUCAAGUUUUGGCCAGGUUUUAGUCCCAGCACAUGGGUUCAAGUCCCCAUCUGAGGUAAACAGUUUCAGGCUGAUGAAACAGAAGACAUCAGAACAAGUGAAGGAAGAGUAAGAGUCAUGCCAGUAGUGGAGACUGCCUGGGCAAACCUAUGGAAGUGAGGUGCUUCUCAAGGAGCUGAGGGAAACCAUGCAUGCAAUUCUUACGUCUUACUAACGGAAGACUGGAGCCCACUGAAGUCAAUGACUUGCUCAAGGAUACCCCAUGGGUAAGUGGCACAGUCAGAUCUAGAAUUCAAGGCUCUGGGCUAUUAGCUCAGUGAUGUACGCUCCCAGGUCCCUGCACAGUGGUUUAGUACGGUAACAUGAAAGGGAGAUUCAGGCCCUUGAACUCUGUGCUCUAACAGGCUUUCCCAUUUAACACUUGCAGCUACUCUACAUGGGCCUUCUUAUUGCCAUUUUAUAGCUCAGUUCAAAAGUUCCUGAAAUAGAAGACUUGCCCAAGGUCAUACAGCUAGUGAGAGUGGACUUUGAAUCCAAGUCUGGCUGUUUGUGAAGCCCAGCUUCUCUCUGCUAUGUCAACCUGGAGCCAAGGGUUUCCACUGAGAGUAAGAAGAAAGUUUUUAAACUGCUUCUUAUUAUUCCAUAGCUAAAUGUUGUACAAUAGAAAAGACUUACAGCUGUAUUCCAAUAUUUUACAUAUUACCUUUAGAGAGAGAGGUACAUUGUAAGGUAAGUGAGAGAACAUUGUUGGAGGUCUAAAAAGUCAGACGGGUGGCCUGAAAAUCAUAACCUUACUACUCAACUAUUUCAUAUUACUUUAGACUUUACUCAUCCCAAUAAAACCAGGAAGAAAUUCA
Bos indicus x Bos taurus (hybrid cattle) is the source of this 2214-nucleotide long non-coding RNA. NCBI's taxonomy places the organism in Eukaryota, Metazoa, Chordata, Mammalia, Artiodactyla, Bovidae. The record is from Ensembl.